AAAUGACCAAAUAUCAAAUUCUAACCAAAAAAUGAUAUCAAAAUAGUAAAGUUCAAAUGUUUAAUGUUGAAUAAUACAAAGAGGAAGAUAUAAAUGGCAAUUUAGGUCUCUAAAAUACAUAAAAAUUAGAAACUAGGUCUCUAUAAAGCGCUAGGAGUUAAGCGGGUGGACAGAAGGCCCAACGCCUAGGCGGGGGCCUAGGUGUCCUAGGCGGCCCGGGGGGGCCUAGCGCCUAGGCG
Molecule: long non-coding RNA, 239 nt
Filed under: Actinidia chinensis (golden kiwifruit)
Lineage: Eukaryota; Viridiplantae; Streptophyta; Magnoliopsida; Ericales; Actinidiaceae
Description: long non-coding RNA (ACHI_LNC003685)
Source: RNAcentral